CCGGCACGGGUGAGUAACGCGUAUGCAACUUGCCUAUCAGGAGGGGAUAACCCGGCGAAAGUCGGACUAAUACCGCAUGAAGCAGGGGCCCCGCAUGGGGAUAUUUGCUAAAGAUUCAUCGCUGAUAGAUAGGCAUGCGUUCCAUUAGGCAGUUGGCGGGGUAACGGCCCACCAAACCGGCGAUGGAUAGGGGUUCUGAGAGGAAGGUCCCCCACAUUGGUACUGAGACACGGACCAA
This 238-nucleotide ribosomal RNA is filed under the name uncultured bacterium. Its description in RNAcentral is "partial 16S ribosomal RNA". It matches the Rfam family "Bacterial small subunit ribosomal RNA", at positions 100 to 334 of the family's 1533-position model. The record is from RNAcentral.